RNAcentral lists this ribosomal RNA (449 nucleotides) under uncultured bacterium. Its description in RNAcentral is "bacterial SSU rRNA". It matches the Rfam family "Bacterial small subunit ribosomal RNA", at positions 331 to 795 of the family's 1533-position model. The record is from RNAcentral.
CCAGACUCCUACGGGAGGCAGCAGUGGGGAAUAUUGCACAAUGGGGGGAACCCUGAUGCAGCGACGCCGCGUGGGCGAGGAAGUAUUUCGGUAUGUAAAGCCCUAUCGGCAGGGAAGAAGAAAUGACGGUACCUGAAUAAGAAGCACCGGCUAAAUACGUGCCAGCAGCCGCGGUAAUACGUAUGGUGCAAGCGUUAUCCGGAUUUACUGGGUGUAAAGGGGGCGCAGACGGCGAUGCAAGCCAGGAGUGAAAGCCCGGGGCCCAACCCCGGGACUGCUCUUGGAACUGCGUGGCUGGAGUGCAGGAGGGGCAGGCGGAAUUCCUGGUGUAGCGGUGAAAUGCGUAGAUAUCAGGAGGAACACCGGUGGCGAAGGCGGCCUGCUGGACUGCAACUGACGUUGAGGCCCGAAAGCGUGGGGAGCAAACAGGAUUAGAUACCCGUGUACCC